CACUGAUAUUUGCUUACUGUUAUCACAGUAAUAACAUAAACAUUUGGCAUUUCAAAUUUCAACAUCUAUACUUUUUUUUGGCAAGACAUGAAGUAUUUCAUUACCCCAUUAAAAUAUAAAAGAAACAAAAGUAACAAUAAAAAAAUGUAACAGACAUCAACUAAAUUUUAUAAAAAAAAGCAACACAAUAUUAAACAACAUAUUAAAUCAAUAAACUGAAAAUACAUUCAAAGGUCAAGGUGAACAUCUGGUAAAAUACAAUGGAGUGACAAAGCUGAUCCCCCUGAGUACAGUCGUAAAUGAAUCAGUUACAUCAUCCAGUAUUUACAGUACCAUCGCUCCCUUUACAUGAAAAGAAAAGUAAAAAAAUAAAAAUAAAAAAAAGUUCUUGUGAAACCAUCUUAAAAAUGGGUUCACAACUUUACGGAGACUUAACCACGGCUGGCUCAAAGCAAUAGGGGUUGUAGCACAGCAGCAGCGGAAGAAAGAUCGAUAAGCCAUCUCGAAGCUAGAAUAUGAGAUAUCUGUACAGACUAAGUAUUCUCUACCAGUAAAAUAUAUUUGCUAUUAGAGAAGAUUUGUAAUGAUGUUCACUGGUGUUUUCAACCAUAUGAAUUAAUGCAAAUAAACACGGAUAUUAUACAACAUCAUUCUGAAUAAUUACAUAUUAAUCAAACUGACAAUAUAUGUAUAUACACAAUGGCACACUAUCAGGGAAAUGUACAAAGUUAUAAAAGUUGAACUUUUCCAUCUUUCUCUCCUAUAAAUCAUUUCUAUAAAUAACUUCCCUUUUAAUAAACUCCAUAAAUGUGAUAAAAGUAUGAUGCAACAUUUUCUGAGCCAUCAGGUAAAAGCCAAAAUCCCCAACCUGACUAUCAAAUUGGCUCAAAAUGUUCAAUAUCUUUUUAAACUUACUACAACUAUUUAGUUGUUUAGGUGAAGUGAACCUUUUUGUGCAAAGAUUUAUGUAAGCAUCCCUUGGCCCUCAAAAGGUUAGUAAUGUAAUGUAUUAACAAUUAAGAGCAAAGUUUGUUACCGACUCACCAUAACAUAACUGACAGCAGCUUUUUAUGAAGACUGUUCUGGUGUUUGGUCCAUUUGAGAACAUGCUACUAUGAGAAGGACUAUUUUGGGAGCAUCACUAAGGGGUUUAAAUGUAGAACCCCAAGCAAUGCUUCUUAAAACUAGGUCACCUUUAACCUUUAAAAUGUUGGUAAGUCUUAUCUAACCGAUUGUAAAUUAACAGCUGCAAUGGUACUGCUCCAGGAAAAGUGAAUUAGACUGUAAUGUUUUAAUAUGAUAGAUAAAAUAUCUGUAAACAUAUAUAUAUGACAACAUUCUUUAAAUUACUCCAUAAAGGUAAUGAUGAUGUCAUUCCAGAUUAUUUCAACUGUCCUAUUUAAACUGGAAUAGUCAGUUAUCUAAAAUCUUAAUGAUUUUCCAAGAGCCGCAUCAUUCAACAAUUUCACCAGGGUUCAUGACUUUCACAUUUAAAGAUCAAAAUCAAGAUGACAUUUGGUGUGUAUUGGUCAUAUUGGUGUAUAGAAAUACCUAGUUUAAUAUUUUUAGAGAUGGAUUUGUCUAAAUUUGUGAAAUGUCUA
Molecule: long non-coding RNA, 1601 nt
Filed under: Pelobates cultripes (western spadefoot toad)
Lineage: Eukaryota; Metazoa; Chordata; Amphibia; Anura; Pelobatidae
Source: RNAcentral